GGCGGGGGGGGCAAGUGUUAUUCAUCAUGACUGGGCGUAAAGGGCGCGCAGACGGCUGCCGUAAGUUAAAAAUUAAAUUUCCACUGAACGUGGUAACUUUUUUAAUACCGGUAGAAGCGUAGUGGGAUCCACUAUGGUCACUCGUAAAAAACAGCAAGUCGGGUUCUAGAGUGUAGUUUAAGGACAGUGGAACUCCCAGUGAAGAGGUGACAUUCUUGGAUACUGGAGGGGACGACCUAUUGGCGAAGGCGAUUGUCUAGACUAUCACUGACGUUGAGGCGCCAAAGCGUGGGGAGCAAACAGG
Molecule: ribosomal RNA, 304 nt
Filed under: uncultured bacterium
Lineage: Bacteria
Description: partial 16S ribosomal RNA
Rfam family: Bacterial small subunit ribosomal RNA
Source: RNAcentral